Molecule: long non-coding RNA, 449 nt
Filed under: Salvia miltiorrhiza (redroot sage)
Lineage: Eukaryota; Viridiplantae; Streptophyta; Magnoliopsida; Lamiales; Lamiaceae
Description: long non-coding RNA (SMIL_LNC013545)
Source: RNAcentral
GUGAAGUAUGUGGCUUCAACUUAUAUAAUUUCUUCAUACUAGAGGGAUCUGACUGCAAAUAGCUAAUACUUUGAGGAGUUAGUUGUAGUGUUAGUUAUCACCCUCGGUGUGUGUAUGUGUGUGAAGUAUAUAUGUUGUGAGUCAUCUCAUUAUCACGUAUUAUUCUUCUUCUUUGUUGAGCUAUGAGUCUUCUUAGUUACAGAGAGCUAGAGAGUGGUUGUUGACAGCAUGGUGUGGCUGUAACACUCAAUCUUGAGUCUGUGAAUUGUGAGUGAUUAUUCUUGAUCAAUAAAAUCUUCAUCUCUUCUGCCGUGGACGUAGGAUAUUCAUAUCCGAACCACGUAAGCCCUAGUGUCUCUUGUUCUUGUUUUUCAUUUGUUUUCUUGCUCGAUACUCUACUGUUUCAUCGCCUUGAUCCGAUCUCAAACAAGCUUGUGGAUUCAUCUCUU